Hyla sarda is the source of this 361-nucleotide long non-coding RNA. RefSeq lists it as uncharacterized. The record is from RefSeq and is a predicted model, not a curated record. NCBI's taxonomy places the organism in Eukaryota, Metazoa, Chordata, Amphibia, Anura, Hylidae. The transcript has 3 exons.
UGACCUUAUGAAGUAUCCACUUCAGGAGUACGAAGCGCAGUAUAAUUUUUACAGAUCAUCCUAAACCUGAGAAGCAAGCAUUGCCUGUGCUAUAAGAUUCCUUAUGUCAGCUGGGGGUCUCCACAAUGAAAGGCUAACCUCAGAUACCUGGAAUUAUUAUCAUUUGUUUUAUUAUUCUUUGAUAAAUAGAGACAUUGGAGACAGAUCACAUGAGGACAACAUGAAUUGGCCAAUAGCAACUCAUUCAGAUCUGGUAGACAUGAGGCGGCUUCUCCAAGCCAGACUGAGAUCAAAAUGACAUGAUGACUUUCACUUAGUUUUAGUUUCCAUAGUAGAGGCCGAUAUCUAGUGUUAAAGGGGU